CCCUGUCUUCAUAGGUUAUCAGCGUCAGCUGCUCUACAAACAUGAUGAUGGCUCCUACAGUGCCUUUGGGAAGUCUGACACCCAGGGCAACACAUGGCUGACAGCUUUUGUGGCCAGGUCCUUUGGGCAGGCCAGCUCUUACAUUUACAUCA
Meleagris gallopavo (turkey) is the source of this 152-nucleotide non-coding RNA. The record is from RefSeq and is a predicted model, not a curated record. Lineage: Eukaryota; Metazoa; Chordata; Aves; Galliformes; Phasianidae.